AUCUACGGCCAUACCUAGGCGAAAACACCAGUUCCCGUUCGAUCACUGCAGUUAAGCGUCUGAGGGCCUCGUUAGUACUAUGGUUGGAGACAACAUGGGAAUCCGGGGUGCUGUAGGUU
Schizosaccharomyces pombe (fission yeast) is the source of this 119-nucleotide non-coding RNA. Lineage: Eukaryota; Fungi; Ascomycota; Schizosaccharomycetes; Schizosaccharomycetales; Schizosaccharomycetaceae. The record is from Rfam.